UCGAGGAGAUUUGAUGAGCCUG
This 22-nucleotide non-coding RNA is filed under the name Arabidopsis thaliana (thale cress). Lineage: Eukaryota; Viridiplantae; Streptophyta; Magnoliopsida; Brassicales; Brassicaceae. The record is from RNAcentral.